CCUGGCGGCCGUAGCGCGGUGGUCCCACCUGAGCCCAUGCCGAACUCAGAAGUGAAACGCCGUAGCGCCGAUGGUAGUGUGGGGUCUCCCCAUGCGAGAGUAGGGAACUGCCAGGC
RNAcentral lists this ribosomal RNA (116 nucleotides) under Escherichia coli. RNAcentral also lists the same sequence under 1 other name. The record is from RNAcentral. Lineage: Bacteria; Pseudomonadati; Pseudomonadota; Gammaproteobacteria; Enterobacterales; Enterobacteriaceae.